RNAcentral lists this ribosomal RNA (905 nucleotides) under Levilactobacillus brevis. RNAcentral describes it as "bacterial SSU rRNA". It matches the Rfam family "Bacterial small subunit ribosomal RNA", at positions 29 to 901 of the family's 1533-position model. Lineage: Bacteria; Bacillati; Bacillota; Bacilli; Lactobacillales; Lactobacillaceae. The record is from RNAcentral.
GGGGAAGUUGGGGGCUGCCUAUACAUGCAGUCGAACGAGCUUCCGUUGAAUGACGUGCUUGCACUGAUUUCAACAAUGAAGCGAGUGGCGAACUGGUGAGUAACACGUGGGAAAUCUGCCCAGAAGCAGGGGAUAACACUUGGAAACAGGUGCUAAUACCGUAUAACAACAAAAUCCGCAUGGAUUUUGUUUGAAAGGUGGCUUCGGCUAUCACUUCUGGAUGAUCCCGCGGCGUAUUAGUUAGUUGGUGAGGUAAAGGCCCACCAAGACGAUGAUACGUAGCCGACCUGAGAGGGUAAUCGGCCACAUUGGGACUGAGACACGGCCCAAACUCCUACGGGAGGCAGCAGUAGGGAAUCUUCCACAAUGGACGAAAGUCUGAUGGAGCAAUGCCGCGUGAGUGAAGAAGGGUUUCGGCUCGUAAAACUCUGUUGUUAAAGAAGAACACCUUUGAGAGUAACUGUUCAAGGGUUGACGGUAUUUAACCAGAAAGCCACGGCUAACUACGUGCCAGCAGCCGCGGUAAUACGUAGGUGGCAAGCGUUGUCCGGAUUUAUUGGGCGUAAAGCGAGCGCAGGCGGUUUUUUAAGUCUGAUGUGAAAGCCUUCGGCUUAACCGGAGAAGUGCAUCGGAAACUGGGAGACUUGAGUGCAGAAGAGGACAGUGGAACUCCAUGUGUAGCGGUGGAAUGCGUAGAUAUAUGGAAGAACACCAGUGGCGAAGGCGGCUGUCUAGUCUGUAACUGACGCUGAGGCUCGAAAGCAUGGGUAGCGAACAGGAUUAGAUACCCUGGUAGUCCAUGCCGUAAACGAUGAGUGCUAAGUGUUGGAGGGUUUCCGCCCUUCAGUGCUGCAGCUAACGCAUUAAGCACUCCGCCUGGGGAGUACGACCGCAAGGUUGAAACU